RNAcentral lists this unclassified non-coding RNA (332 nucleotides) under soil metagenome. RNAcentral's name for it is "partial contains 5.8S ribosomal RNA, internal transcribed spacer 2, and large subunit ribosomal RNA". The stretch from base 1 to 120 matches the Rfam family "5.8S ribosomal RNA", at positions 35 to 154 of the family's 154-position model. The record is from RNAcentral.
GAUGAAGAACGCAGCGAAAUGCGAUACGUAAUGUGAAUUGCAGAUUUCAGUGAAUCAUCGAAUCUUUGAACGCACAUUGCGCCCGCUAGUAUUCUGGCGGGCAUGCCUGUUCGAGCGUCAUUUCAACCAUCAAGCCCUAGGCUUGCGUUGGAGCCCUGCGGCUGCCGCAGGCUCCCAAAUCCAGUGGCGGGCUCGUCGUCGUACCGAGUGCAGUAAACAUCCUCGCUCAGGGAACGUGACGGGUUCUUGCCGUGAAACCCCCCACAUAUCAAGGUUGACCGCGGAUCAGGUAGGAAUACCCGCUGAACUUAAGCAUAUCAAUAAGCGGAGGA